AACUUUGGAAAACAUAAGAAAACUACAAAAUCACGGUCUAAAUCUUACAGUACUGAUGAUGAGGAAGACACACAGCAGAAUACUGGCAAGGAGGGUGGCCAGCUGUACAGAUUGGGUCGCCGAAGGAAAACCAUGAAGCUCUGCCGAGAACUCUCUGAUUUGGUUGUGUACACAAACUCCGUGGCCGCUCAGGACAUUGUGGAUGACGGAACCACAGGAAAUGUGUUAUCAUUCAGUGAAACAAGAGCACAUCAGGUUGUUCAGCAAAAAUCAGAGCAGUUCAUGAUUUAUAAUCAAAAGCAACUCACGAGGAUUUACCCCUCUGCCUACCGCAUUGAUUCCAGUAACUUCAACCCUCUCCCCUACUGGAACGCAGGCUGCCAGCUAGUGGCACUGAAUUAUCAAUCUGAAGGACGAAUGAUGCAGUUAAACCGAGCCAAAUUCAAGGCAAAUGGCAGUUGUGGCUAUGUCCUCAAACCCCAGCAAAUGUGCAAAGGUACUUUCAACCCUUUCUCUGGUGACCCUCUUCCUGCCAACCCCAAAAAGCAGCUCAUCCUAAAAGUUAUCAGUGGACAGCAACUCCCCAAACCUCCAGACUCCAUGUUUGGAGAUCGAGGCGAGAUCAUUGACCCUUUUGUUGAAGUUGAAAUUAUUGGAUUGCCAGUAGAUUGUUGUAAAGAUCAAACCCGUGUGGUAGAUGACAAUGGUAAGAUGGUAAUCUGUGUUCACUUCUUAAUGAAGAUGGUCU
Molecule: small RNA, 748 nt
Filed under: Pan troglodytes (chimpanzee)
Lineage: Eukaryota; Metazoa; Chordata; Mammalia; Primates; Hominidae
Description: retained intron
Source: RNAcentral